GACAGAGGGUGCAAGCGUUGUUCGGAAUUACUGGGCGUAAAGCGUGUGUAGGCGGUCCGCUAAGUCGGGUGUGAAAGCCCUGGGCUCAACCCAGGAAGUGCACUCGAAACUGGCGGGCUAGAGUAUCGGAGAGGGUGGUGGAAUUCUCGGUGUAGAGGUGAAAUUCGUAGAUAUUGGGAAGAACACCGGUGGCGAAGGCGGCGCUCUGGACCGAGACUGACGCUGAGGCGCGAAAGCGUGGGGAGCAAACAGG
RNAcentral lists this ribosomal RNA (253 nucleotides) under uncultured bacterium. Its description in RNAcentral is "partial 16S ribosomal RNA". It matches the Rfam family "Bacterial small subunit ribosomal RNA", at positions 524 to 776 of the family's 1533-position model. The record is from RNAcentral.